RNAcentral lists this long non-coding RNA (617 nucleotides) under Homo sapiens (human). RNAcentral describes it as "HSALNT0355431". The record is from RNAcentral. Lineage: Eukaryota; Metazoa; Chordata; Mammalia; Primates; Hominidae.
GCGUGGAGAGGUAAGCACAGCUGGUGAGCACACGGGGACAGCGACGGAGCUCAUGGAGACCCAGGUGACCUUAAAACACCCCAGGGCCGGCUCCGGCCCCAGAGAGAUGUGGUCCGAGUAGAGGGGGGUCAGCAGUGACCUGGUGGGUGGGUGUAUUUGAGGGGUGCCUGUGUUGAAAGCUCUGCAGUAGAUUCUAAGGAGCAGCCAGGGCUGAGACUCCCGGUGCUGAGCCCAAGGCCCCUUUCCUUCCUGCAGGAGUUCAUCUUGGCUCUUGCAGCCCCCAUGACCCUGUGGCGCUGGGGGGCGGCUAGCAUGAUGCUCCCCAUUUUUCAGGAGGGAAGCUGAGGCUCAGAGACAUCAUGAGGAUGCCAGCUCAAGGCCCAGCCAGGCCUUGGUCCUCAGCUGCUGUCAUCCAGUAGGCUCAAGCCCAGAGGCCUCCAGGGUGUCCAGCCUCCAGGGUGCCUCCUACGCAGCCUCCACGUCCCCAUCCACUGCAGCCCCUGACCAUCGGGCACACCGUGGGGCCUUCGCUGGCCGCCGGGCCUCAGGUUCUGCUGCACCAAGUGAUUUUUAAAGCCCCAUCUGCCUUUCUCCACUUAUAAAGAACUUGGGACAUU